CUCGUAGGCGGUUCGACAAGUCGGGUGUGAAACCUCCAGGCUCAACCUGGAGACGCCGCUCGAAACUGUUGUGACUAGAGUCCGAUAGAGGAGUAUGGGAAUUCCUGGUGUAGCGGUGGAAUGCGCAGAUAUCAGGAGGAACACCAGUAGCGAAGGCGAUACUCUGGGCCGGUACUGACGCUGAGGAGCGAAGCAUGGGGGAGCGAACA
Molecule: ribosomal RNA, 209 nt
Filed under: uncultured bacterium
Lineage: Bacteria
Description: partial 16S ribosomal RNA
Rfam family: Bacterial small subunit ribosomal RNA
Source: RNAcentral